Molecule: long non-coding RNA, 1911 nt
Filed under: Chrysemys picta bellii (western painted turtle)
Lineage: Eukaryota; Metazoa; Chordata; Testudines; Emydidae
Description: lncRNA (ENSCPBG00000011412.1)
Source: RNAcentral
ACAGGCGGGCGAGGCACGCGCAGGGCAGCCGCCGCUCCUGUGCCAGGGGACGGACAGAUCCUUGCAGCCGAGCGCUCUGGCAGCUACGGUACAAAGCGCCAGGCUACGAAUAUCCCCCUGACUGGCGCGUUUCUGGGGGAGCCGGGAGGGGGAGCGGACACUAGGCCGAGCUUUGCCCUCGCUCACCCGGGAGGAUGUGAUCGGGCCUCGGACGCGGCUGCUGCCCCGGGAAUAGUGAUUUCACUCACCCUUCGGUUUUGCGGCGCGCACCCCGGGCCAAGCCAGACACCGGCCGGGACAAAGCUACCAGCUCCACGCCAGGGGCUCCGAGUCCCUCCCCACCGAGCCGGCGCGGCGGGCAGAGCGGGGUCCGGGGCGGCCAGAGCAGGCUGCUACCGCCGGUCCGCGGCGCGUCGCGCCAGCCUGGGCUCAGCUCGGCACCGCUGGAGCCGAGAGCCCCAAGCGACACGGGCCUGACUGCGAGACGGCGCCCGGCGGAGCUUCCUCCUCUUGCCCCCAGAGAUCAGCGUGUCCGCAGGGCACAGCCCGCGCCCCCCGCCUGGGCCGCCGAGCCCCCAGCAGCCCGGCAAGAGGCGCUGCUCCCCGCCUGCCCCACGCUCAGGGCUCCGCACAGCGCCCGCCGCCGGGAUCGGCCCCGCGGUGCCCGGGGCAGCUCGCCAAGGGAGACCAUCGCAGUGGAGCGCCGGAGCUCCCCGGCCAGCCCCUACACGCGGCGCUGCGGCGGCCACCAGCCCGGCUCCCGCGGGCUUUGGCUUGCAGCGAGCCCGGAGCAGCCGCCGUGCGGGCGAGUCCGCAUCUCCCUGCCCGCCGCGCUGCUGAGCCCGGUGGAAGUGACUGCACAAGAUUCCAGGCAAGAAGUCGGGGCUUAUGUAGCUUUUUCUAUAUUUUGAUGUGGCACUGAAGGAUUGUUAGUAUACCUUGAAUUUGGACAGACUGCAAAAGAUUAUUUGGAUUCCACCACCACCACCCCACCUCUUCUUACAAGAUGUAAAUGUUUCUUUCAGGAUUUUCUAUGAUAUGCCAAUAUAGAACCAGAGAUUUGAGAUCCUCUGAAAAGUAAAGCAUUGGGUCCUCUUUUCAUUACUGUAAAACUGAACUACUUUGUCUACCUGAGGAAUAGUUCCAAAUUAAUUCUGGGUGCUAUUUUUUUCUAAAGCAGCAAAGAAGAAAAUGAUAAAACCAGCAUCCAAAGAAAGGUACAGUAUACACAGGGUAUGUCUACACUGCAGUUAAACACCCCUUGCUGGCCUGUCAACUGACUCAGGCUUCUGCUGUGGGGUUAUAAACUUGCAGUGUAGACAGCCUGAAUGCAAGCUCUAGGCCUUUCCUCUCACAACCUCUUCUCCUCACACAAAUCCACACUCCUGUAUUUUUGUCUGGCUCACCUUAAUUGUGGCUUGAUCUUUCAUUUCUUGUACCCAACAUUCACAUUGAUUUUAAUGGGAGUUUUUCAUGUACAAAAUGCUUCGUUCUGAUGUUCACGCUUCCAGUGCACUUUUCUUCUCCAGCUUGAAACAUUAGAAAUAUGAUCCCUUUUUGUGAUGGAUCCAGCAUUUUGUACAUGAAAAACUCCCAUUAAAAUCACUGUGAGUUUUGGGUACAAGAAAUGAAAGAUCAAGCCACAAUUAAGGUGAGUCAGAGAUGACAGAUAAAUGAAGCAUUUAUUUUUAUGGGAAAUUGUCAAAAAGCGGGUUUGAUCACUUGUGCUCACAGAACUGUUUUUUUCCUCAUUUGUUUUCAGUAUGUACAGUAUCAAACAACAUGAAAUGUGGUAUGGCAAAACAAUGCAAGAAUUAUAUACAGUAACUCCUCACUUAAAGUCAUCCCGGUUAACGUUUCGUUGUUACGUUGCUGAUCAGUUAGGGAACAUGCUUGUUUAAAGUUGUGCAA